UCAAGCCGCGAGGGCGUUGAAUUGUCCGGA
This 30-nucleotide non-coding RNA is filed under the name Homo sapiens (human). Lineage: Eukaryota; Metazoa; Chordata; Mammalia; Primates; Hominidae. The record is from RNAcentral.